CGAGGAGGUAGGGCUUACGCUUGCGUUUGUCUGUUAUAUCUUGGUGGACGAGUUGUCGCGGUUGGGACUGAGGUGCCUACAACGUGCUUUUGAGUGAGUUUGUGUCUCCGUGUGCGCCGUGUGCGGAUAGCUUGCUAUGUAUGUGCGGUUGUGUGUGGAUUGAUGCGGGCUUUAACUUGUCGCCGUUCGGGACGUUGGCGAAAUGGAGCGAUCCGACCCGUCUUGAAACACGGACCAAGGAGUCUAACAUGUGUGCAAGUGUUAGGGUGUGGAAACCCCAGCGCGAAAUGAAAGUGAAGGGCAGCGCAAGUUGUCUGAGGUAGGAAACGUUGUGGACUUCGGUCUGCGGCGUGGCACUAUCGACCGAUCAUGAACCUUCGUGGUGAAAGAUUUGAGUUUGAGCACAUAUGUUGGUACCCGAAAGAUGGUGAACUAUGCCUGAGUAGGGUGAAGCCAGGGGAAACUCUGGUGGAAGCUCGUAGCGAUUCUGACGUGCAAAUCGAUCGUCAAACUUGGGUAUAGGGGCGAAAGACUAAUCGAACCAUCUAGUAGCUGGUUCCCUCCGAAAUUUCCCUCAGGAUAGCAGCAACUUAUUUACGAUAGUUUUAUGAGGUAAAGCGAAUGAUUAGAGGAUUCGGGGAAGAAACUUCCUCGACCUAUUCUCAAACUUUAAAUCUGUAAGACCUGCAGGUUUCUUAAU
This 700-nucleotide ribosomal RNA is filed under the name Pseudoperonospora cubensis. Its description in RNAcentral is "LSU rRNA". It matches the Rfam family "Eukaryotic large subunit ribosomal RNA", at positions 442 to 1095 of the family's 3401-position model. The record is from RNAcentral. Lineage: Eukaryota; Oomycota; Peronosporomycetes; Peronosporales; Peronosporaceae.